Molecule: ribosomal RNA, 446 nt
Filed under: uncultured bacterium
Lineage: Bacteria
Description: partial 16S ribosomal RNA
Rfam family: Bacterial small subunit ribosomal RNA
Source: RNAcentral
CCUACGGGUGGCAGCAGUCGAGAAUCAUUCACAAUGGGGGAAACCCUGAUGGUGCGACGCCGCGUGGGGGAAUGAAGGUCUUCGGAUUGUAAACCCCUGUCAUGUGGGAGCAAAUUAAAAAGAUAGUACCACAAGAGGAAGAGACGGCUAACUCUGUGCCAGCAGCCGCGGUAAUACAGAGGUCUCAAGCGUUGUUCGGAAUCACUGGGCGUAAAGUGUGCGUAGGCUGUUUCGUAAGUCGUGUGUGAAAGGCGCGGGCUCAACCCGCGGAAGGCACAUGAUACUGCGAGACUAGAGUAAUGGAGGGGGAACCGGAAAUCUCGGUGCAGCAGUGAAAUGCGUAGAUAACGAGAGGAACACUCGUGGCGAAGGCGGGUUCCUGGACAUUAACUGACGCUGAGGCACGAAGGCCAGGGGAGCGAAAGGGAUUAGAUACCCCAGUAGUC